AUUGAACGCUGGCGGAAUGCUUUACACAUGCAAGUCGAACGGCAGCACGGGUGCUUGCACCUGGUGGCGAGUGGCGAACGGGUGAGUAAUGCAUCGGAACGUACCCAGUUAUGGGGGAUAACUAACCGAAAGGUUAGCUAAUACCGCAUACGCCCUGAGGGGGAAAGCGGGGGACCGUAAGGCCUCGCGUAAUUGGAGCGGCCGAUGUCUGAUUAGCUAGUUGGUGAGGUAAAGGCUCACCAAGGCGACGAUCAGUAGCAGGUCUGAGAGGAUGAUCUGACACACUGGAACUGAGACACGGUCCAGACUCCUACGGGAGGCAGCAGUGGGGAAUUUUGGACAAUGGGCGAAAGCCUGAUCCAGGCAUUCCGCGUGCAGGAUGAAGGCCCUCGGGUUGUAAACUGCUUUUGUACAGAACGAAAAGGUUUCUACUAAUACUAGGAGCUCAUGACGGUACUGUAAGAAUAAGCACCGGCUAACUACGUGCCAGCCGCCGCCGUAA
RNAcentral lists this ribosomal RNA (502 nucleotides) under uncultured bacterium. RNAcentral describes it as "partial 16S ribosomal RNA". It matches the Rfam family "Bacterial small subunit ribosomal RNA", at positions 30 to 523 of the family's 1533-position model. The record is from RNAcentral.